This 492-nucleotide ribosomal RNA is filed under the name uncultured bacterium. RNAcentral's name for it is "partial 16S ribosomal RNA". It matches the Rfam family "Bacterial small subunit ribosomal RNA", at positions 29 to 507 of the family's 1533-position model. The record is from RNAcentral.
AGUGAACGCUGGCGGUAGGCCUAACACAUGCAAGUCGAACGGCAGCACAGUAAGAGCUUGCUCUUACGGGUGGCGAGUGGCGGAUGGGUGAGGAAUACAUCGGAAUCUACUUUUUCGUGGGGGAUAACGUAGGGAAACUUACGCUAAUACCGCAUACGACCUACGGGUGAAAGCAGGGGAUCUUCGGACCUUGCGCGAUUGAAUGAGCCGAUGUCGGAUUAGCUAGUUGGCGGGGUAAAGGCCCACCAAGGCGACGAUCCGUGGCUGGUCUGAGAGGAUGAUCAGCCACACUGGAACUGAGACACGGUCCAGACUCCUACGGGAGGCAGCAGUGGGGAAUAUUGGACAAUGGGCGCAAGCCUGAUCCAGCCAUACCGCGUGGGUGAAGAAGGCCUUCGGGUUGUAAAGCCCUUUUGUUGGGAAAGAAAAGCAGCAGGUUAAUACCCCGCUGUUCUGACGGUACCCAAAGAAUAAGCACCGGCUAACUUCGUG